GUCUGGCAUAAUCCUGGGAAACUGGGAAUAAUUCCGGAUAGGUCACAGAUGCUGGAAUGCACUGUGGCCGAAAGCUCCGGCGCCUAAGGAUGGGUCUGCGGCCUAUCAGGUAGUAGUGGGUGUAGCGUACCUACUAGCCUACGACGGGUACGGGUUGUGAGAGCAAGAGCCCGGAGAUGGAUUCUGAGACACGAAUCCAGGCCCUACGGGGUGCAGCAGGCGCGAAAACUUUACAAUGCUGGCAACAGCGAUAAGGGAACCUCGAGUGCCAGGUUACAAAUCUGGCUGUCGAGAUGCCUAAAAAGCAUUUCAUAGCAAGGGCCGGGCAAGACCGGUGCCAGCCGCCGCGGUAACACCGGCGGCUCGAGUGGUAACCGUUAUUAUUGGGUCUAAAGGGUCUGUAGCCGGCCGGAUAAGUCUCUUGAGAAAUCUGGCAGCUUAACUGUCAGGCUUUCAGGAGAUACUGUCUGGCUCGAGGCCGGGAGAGGUGAGAGGUACUUCAGGGGUAGGGGUGAAAUCUUGUAAUCCUUGAAGGACCACCAGUGGCGAAGGCGUCUCACCAGAACGGACCUGACGGCAAGGGACGAAAGCUAGGGGCACGAACCGGAUUAGAUACCCGGGUAGUCCUAGCCGUAAACGAUACUCGCUAGGUGUCGGCCACGGUGCGACCGUUGUCGGUGCCGUAGGGAAGCCGUGAAGCGGGCCACCUGGGAAGUACGCC
This 721-nucleotide ribosomal RNA is filed under the name uncultured archaeon. RNAcentral describes it as "bacterial SSU rRNA". It matches the Rfam family "Archaeal small subunit ribosomal RNA", at positions 119 to 841 of the family's 1478-position model. The record is from RNAcentral.